AACGAACGCUGGCGGCAUGCCUAACACAUGCAAGUCGAACGAGACCUUCGGGUCUAGUGGCGCACGGGUGCGUAACGCGUGGGAACCUGCCCUUAGGUUCGGAAUAACUCCCCGAAAGGGAUGCUAAUACCGGAUAAUGUCUUCGGACCAAAGAUUUAUCGCCUUUGGAUGGGCCCGCGUUGGAUUAGCUAGUUGGUAGGGUAAAAGCCUACCAAGGCGACGAUCCAUAGCUGGUCUGAGAGGAUGAUCAGCCACACUGGGACUGAGACACGGCCCAGACUCCUACGGGAAGCAGCAGUGGGGAAUAUUGGACAAUGGGCGAAAGCCUGAUCCAGCAAUGCCGCGUGAGUGAUGAAGGCCUUAGGGUUGUAAAGCUCUUUUACCCGGGAUGAUAAUGACAGUACCGGGAGAAUAAGCUCCGGCUAACUCCGUG
Molecule: ribosomal RNA, 433 nt
Filed under: uncultured bacterium
Lineage: Bacteria
Description: partial 16S ribosomal RNA
Rfam family: Bacterial small subunit ribosomal RNA
Source: RNAcentral